Oryza sativa Japonica Group (Japanese rice) is the source of this 1778-nucleotide non-coding RNA. The record is from RefSeq and is a predicted model, not a curated record. NCBI's taxonomy places the organism in Eukaryota, Viridiplantae, Streptophyta, Magnoliopsida, Poales, Poaceae.
GAAUCCGACUCGAGCGGUAUGAGGAUCUAAAGAAAACCCUAGCGGCGGCGAUUGGUGUGGCGGGAAGGCGGCCAUGUCCCCCAAACGGAGGAAAUCGGUGGCGGCCUCGAGCGGCGGUCCCAAAUCGUCGCCGGCGGCGAGGUCGACUCGGUCCAAAUCGAAGCCGGAUUCCGAUCUCGCCGAGCACGACGACAGUCCCAGAUCGUCGUCCGGGAGGCUGACUCGCUCCAGAGCGAAGGUGUUGGAGGAGUCGGCGGGAGUGUCUUCGAGCAAGAAGAAGAGAAGGAUCGAGGAGGAGUCGCCGGCGGCGACGACGACGACUUCGACGACGGCGACGACGGGUGUGAUGCACAGGGAGGGGCAUGGCACCUUGGCGUCCCGGCCACUCCCGCCGAUCCACCCGCCGACGACACCCCGCGUCAGAAAAAGCUCCCGCAUCGUCCGGCUCGAAGUUGAUCGACUUCAGAAGCUAACUCUCUGGCGCGAUAAGAAAGAUGAUCCCUCCACCGCGGCCGCCUUGCCUACCCCCUCCGACAAGAACAUGGUGUUGGGCAUGUCUCGCUCAAUUGUCCGCGUUUCAUCCCCACCUUCUGAGGGAAAAUUGAUCUCUCCGCGCACCGGAUUCGUCGUCAGUUGGGAUGGAGCCACCAAGCGUGCUAUGAUCGUCACGCUCUCCACUUACUUCAAAAAGAAGCCGCAUGAGCCCCAACCCGAGCUGCAGGUUCAUCUUGCAGAUAAGUCUAUUGUGCAGGGACGGUUGAUAUUCAUGAAUCGCCACUACAAUCUCUCCAUCUUGGAGAUCACGUCUGACCUACCAUUGCAGGUCCCUGCUUUUGGGUCCGCCCCAAAGUAUGGCCAGAAAAUUCUUGCCUUGUCUCGGGAUGAAAAUAUGUCCCUGGUGGCGAGGCGUGGAGCAAUCACGUGGUCGGAUGGUUCUUUCAUGUGGAGAAACCAUUACAUGUUUGUGGAUUGUGAUGUUCCUGAGGGUGGUGUUGGAGGGCCUGUAGUUGACAGUUGUGGUAGUACCAUUGCUAUGGUAUACAGAGCCGGCCCUGGUGCAAUUAUCAUUUCAAUCUCAAUUAUUUGCACCUUCUUUGAGAUGUGGAAGCAAUUCAGCUGUGUUGCCCGCCCUGUGUUUGACGUGGAUUUAAGAAGUGUGGAACUAGCUGGUGUGUCACUCCGGGAGGAGCUCUCUGUGAAACAUAACAUCAAUGGUGGCUUUAUUGUUAAACGCAUAGCUGAUGAUUCUGCUCUUGAGCAUCUCGGUGUUAGACGGGGUGACGUGAUCUUUUUUGAGAACGAGUGCGGGACUAGUUUGCCUGAGAUCGAAGGUUAUCUCCUUUCUCUUGGUUGGAGAUACCUGCAGGGGAUGAAAAAGUCGAUGGUUCUCAAGAACUGUCUUCCUUGUGUAGUUGGAAGUACAUGACAUUGAAGGUCCAUGUGAGGAGACAAUUACCUUACCCUUAAAGUUUUCUGUCGAUUCAGGAAAGGUUGUCCGCUGGAGGAUGGCUUGAAGAUGUACAGCAAGACUAGUUAGAGCAAGGUCAAUAGUAUAGCCCACCGCUGACGGUACCAAAUGCCACGUCAUUUUACAGUUAGUGUAAAGCUAACUAAUACAAUAGAUUGGCUAUUGUGCUAACUACAUAGAAGCUAUUAAACAAUUAAUUUUGGAUACACAGUACGAUCAAGAAUGUACUCCAUCUUUGUAGCCAUUUGUGCUGUCAUGAGCGUGAGUAGUCUACCGAUGAAGAAAAAGAAAGAGUUUGGUUUUUGCUUUC